This 273-nucleotide ribosomal RNA is filed under the name uncultured Ascomycota. Its description in RNAcentral is "partial 18S ribosomal RNA". It matches the Rfam family "Eukaryotic small subunit ribosomal RNA", at positions 548 to 827 of the family's 1831-position model. Lineage: Eukaryota; Fungi; Ascomycota. The record is from RNAcentral.
UUGGAGGGCAAGUCUGGUGCCAGCAGCCGCGGUAAUUCCAGCUCCAAUAGCGUAUACUAAAGUUGUUGUGGUUAAAAAGCUUGUAGUUGAACCUUGGGCCUGGCUGGCCGGUCCGCCUCACCGCGUGCACUGGUCCGGCCGGGCCUUUCCCUCUGCGGAACCCCAUGCCCUUCACUGGGUGUGGCGGGGAAACAGGACUUUUACUUUGAAAAAAUUAGAGUGCUCAAGGCAGGCCUAUGCUCGAAUACAUUAGCAUGGAAUAAUAGAAUAGGA